Molecule: ribosomal RNA, 1113 nt
Filed under: uncultured archaeon
Lineage: Archaea
Description: bacterial SSU rRNA
Rfam family: Archaeal small subunit ribosomal RNA
Source: RNAcentral
AGCAGGCGAGAAAACUUUGCAAUGUGCGAAAGCACGACAAGGUUAAUCCGAGUGGUUUCUGCUAAAGAAACCUUUUGUCGGUCCUAGAAACACCGAUGAAUAAGGGGUGGGCAAGUUCUGGUGUCAGCCGCCGCGGUAAAACCAGCACCUCAAGUGGUCAGGAUGAUUAUUGGGCCUAAAGCAUCCGUAGCCGGCUCUGUAAGUUUUCGGUUAAAUCUGUACGCUCAACGUACAGGCUGCCGGGAAUACUGCAGAGCUAGGGAGUGGGAGAGGUAGACGGUACUCGGUAGGAAGGGGUAAAAUCCUUUGAUCUAUUGAUGACCACCUGUGGCGAAGGCGGUCUACCAGAACACGUCCGACGGUGAGGGAUGAAAGCUGGGGGAGCAAACCGGAUUAGAUACCCGGGUAGUCCCAGCUGUAAACUAUGCAAACUCAGUGAUGCAUUGGCUUGUGGCCAAUGCAGUGCUGCAGGGAAGCCGUUAAGUUUGCCGCCUGGGAAGUACGUACGCAAGUAUGAAACUUAAAGGAAUUGGCGGGGGAGCACCACAAGGGGUGAAGCCUGCGGUUCAAUUGGAGUCAACGCCAGAAAUCUUACCCGGAGAGACAGCAGAAUGAAGGUCAAGCUGAAGACUUUACCAGACAAGCUGAGAGGUGGUGCAUGGCCGUCGCCAGCUCGUGCCGUGAGAUGUCCUGUUAAGUCAGGUAACGAGCGAGAUCCCUGCCUCUAGUUGCCACCAUUACUCUCAGGAGUAGUGGGGCGAAUUAGCGGGACCGCCGCAGUUAAUGCGGAGGAAGGAAGGGGCCACGGCAGGUCAGUAUGCCCCGAAACUCUGGGGCCACACGCGGGCUGCAAUGGUAAUGACAAUGGGUUCCGAAUCCGAAAGGAGGAGGUAAUCCCCAAACAUUACCACAGUUAUGACUGAGGGCUGCAACUCGCCCUCACGAAUAUGGAAUCCCUAGUAACUGCGUGUCAUUAUCGCGCGGUGAAUACGUCCCUGCUCCUUGCACACACCGCCCGUCGUUUCAUUGAAGUGAGCUCUUAGCGAGGUGACGUCUGAUUGGCGUUAUCGAACUUGGGGUUCGUGACAAGGGAAAAGUCGUAACAAGGUAACC